AUAUAGCUGAAGUCAUUUCCUUUUAUUAGUCAUUUGUUUUCACGUUUUUAGCAACAAUUAUCAAUUUCUCGACUUUUACAAUCUGUGAAAGCGAAAGUUUUUGUUAUUUCUUUCUUUUGUUAAUUGAUACUUAUCUGAUUCAAUUCUUCAUGUAUGUAAUUUGGUUUUCUUUUGUAGUCUAUGCUCUAGCUUUUCAAUAGCUCCGAGAACCAAACUUUUUUGACACUCUCAGAGAGAAAGAUUGGGUUGGGAACAAAUAGAAAAGAGAUGUUUAGUCUGCAAACAUUUAUCUAAACUCUAAACCCUAUUUAAUCGAUUUCCCAAUUUUAAUGUAAAAUUUGGGGUUUUGAUUCUUUGAUCUAAUAUAAAAUUUGCAGAUAUGAUAUGCUAGAGUUUAUAUAUGAUUACCACUACAUGAAAUUGUUGUGGCUUUGAAACCCCCAGGCCUGAGUUUUCAGGGAGGAUACCCGAGAAAGAGAAAGCUAUAUUAGGCUUAUCGUGGACAUGUUGAAAAUUGUUGAAGGGAUGAAGUCAUUCAGUCUCCGAUCAAUAUGCAAACACUUGAGAUGCUGGAGAAGGAGGAGAAGCUCCUUGGCAGCGUUGUAAUAAAGAAACACUACUGUUUCUAUGAGUCGCAUUUGUAAUUGAUUGGGGGUUCUUCAAAAUUGAAUCCUAAAGACGGUCUAGAGACGAAGGGGGAGACUCUUGGUGGAUUGGGUGUGCACUGAAAAUGGAGCAAGGCCAACCAGAGGUGAGCUAGGUUUUGAGUUCUUGGUGAAUAGGAGUGGGCAGCCUUAUCUGAUUCAGACAAAUACCUUAAUCAGGUUCUUUUCUUCCUUUUUCUUUUGAGUUCAUUAGCAUGCAUCUAUCUAUUUGAUUACCAAAAAAAUUGAGCAAAACGAUGAAGGAAUGGGAAAUUCAAUUUGAAUUCUUUUUCAUCAUAAUGUAUGAAAUUGUAGUCUUGGUGUUGUACAUUGAUGAACUGUUGCACAGAGAAUAAUGUCUAGAUAUAUAUGUGAAGAUAAAUUUGGUGAGAUUGUAGUCCAAUACACUCUCUAUUGGUA
Molecule: long non-coding RNA, 1064 nt
Organism: Rosa chinensis
Lineage: Eukaryota; Viridiplantae; Streptophyta; Magnoliopsida; Rosales; Rosaceae
Exons: 3
Source: RefSeq, a predicted model, not a curated record